AGCGAACGCUGGCGGCAGGCUUAACACAUGCAAGUCGAACGGGCAUAGCAAUAUGUCUGUGGCAGACGGGUGAGUAACGCGUGGGCACGUACCUAUUGGUUCGGUACAACACAGGGAAACUUGUGCUAAUACCGGAUAAGCCCUUACGGGGAAAGAUUUAUCGCCGAAAGAUCGGCCCGCGUCUGAUUAGCUAGUUGGUAGGGUAAUGGCCUACCAAGGCGACGAUCAGUAGCUGGUCUGAGAGGAUGAUCAGCCACAUUGGGACUGAGACACGGCCCAAACUCCUACGGGAGGCAGCAGUGGGGAAUAUUGGACAAUGGGCGAAAGCCUGAUCCAGCCAUGCCGCGUGAGUGAUGAAGGCCCUAGGGUUGUAAAGCUCUUUUGUGCGGGAAGAUAAUGACGGUACCGCAAGAAUAAGCCCCGGCUAACUUCGUG
RNAcentral lists this ribosomal RNA (435 nucleotides) under uncultured bacterium. RNAcentral describes it as "partial 16S ribosomal RNA". It matches the Rfam family "Bacterial small subunit ribosomal RNA", at positions 29 to 507 of the family's 1533-position model. The record is from RNAcentral.